Molecule: ribosomal RNA, 253 nt
Filed under: uncultured bacterium
Lineage: Bacteria
Description: partial 16S ribosomal RNA
Rfam family: Bacterial small subunit ribosomal RNA
Source: RNAcentral
UACGUAGGGCGCGAGCGUUGUCCGGAAUUAUUGGGCGUAAAGAGCGCGUAGGCGGUCCGGUAAGUCGGUUGUGAAAGUCGGGGGCUCAACCCUCGGAUGCCGAUCGAUACUGUCGGGCUAGAGUCCGGAAGAGGCGAGUGGAAUUCCUGGUGUAGCGGUGAAAUGCGCAGAUAUCAGGAGGAACACCAAUGGCGAAGGCAGCUCGCUGGGACGGUACUGACGCUGAGGAGCGAAAGCGUGGGGAGCGAACAGG